Molecule: unclassified non-coding RNA, 496 nt
Filed under: Hevea brasiliensis (rubber tree)
Lineage: Eukaryota; Viridiplantae; Streptophyta; Magnoliopsida; Malpighiales; Euphorbiaceae
Source: RNAcentral
GUCUUUCUCAACUGCAACUUAAACAACAAUGCCAAGCAGACCCUUAGUAGAGAAAAUUACUAAAACCCCUGAGCUUUAGCAUAGUACACACUUUCGUCCAGGCUGUUUCAAAGUUAGAUGCUUUCCCCCCUAAAAUUUAUUAACAAUUGUACACUUUAGCCCUUAAUGUAUAAAAUAGUCAUUGACUGUAAAUUUGACCACACUUUACUCUCUGAAACUUUGAAAUUUGAUUGGACUUUAAUCCUUGAUUGUUCUAUUAGAAACACUUUGUUCCUUUAAUUUUUCACUUCUCAUAGAUGGUAAUUUAAGGAAAAACAAAGUGCCUAAUUUUGAAACAACAAGAAUUAAAUUAUAUAAAAGGGUUGUAGUAAUUUAUGAUAUUCUAGUAAACAAAAGAGUUAUUUGGUAGCAUAAAUUAUAGAGAAUAUAAACAAGAGUUUAAAGGAAAGAAUGGCUUUCUAUUAAAAUUAUGCAAAACAAGUCACUUUUAGGGGGC